This 21-nucleotide microRNA is filed under the name Medicago truncatula (barrel medic). RNAcentral's name for it is "mtr-miR2665". Lineage: Eukaryota; Viridiplantae; Streptophyta; Magnoliopsida; Fabales; Fabaceae. The record is from miRBase by way of RNAcentral.
UGAUUUCAGGUCAAGAAUUGA